AUUGAACGCUGGCGGCAGGCCUAACACAUGCAAGUCGAGCGGAUGAAGGGAGCUUGCUCCUGGAUUCAGCGGCGGACGGGUGAGUAAUGCCUAGGAAUCUGCCUGGUAGUGGGGGAUAACGUCCGGAAACGGGCGCUAAUACCGCAUACGUCCUGAGGGAGAAAGUGGGGGAUCUUCGGACCUCACGCUAUCAGAUGAGCCUAGGUCGGAUUAGCUAGUUGGUGGGGUAAAGGCCUACCAAGGCGACGAUCCGUAACUGGUCUGAGAGGAUGAUCAGUCACACUGGAGCUGGGACACGGUCCAGACGCCUGCGGGAGGCAGCAGUGGGGAAUAUUGGACAAUGGGCGAAAGCCUGAUCCAGCCAUGCCGCGUGUGUGAAGAAGGUCUUCGGAUUGUAAAGCACUUUAAGUUGGGAGGAAGGGCAGUAAGUUAAUACCUUGCUGUUUUGACGUUACCAACAGAAUAAGCACCGGCUAACUUCGUG
This 484-nucleotide ribosomal RNA is filed under the name uncultured bacterium. Its description in RNAcentral is "partial 16S ribosomal RNA". It matches the Rfam family "Bacterial small subunit ribosomal RNA", at positions 30 to 507 of the family's 1533-position model. The record is from RNAcentral.